GAUGAACGCUAGCGGCAGGCCUAAUACAUGCAAGUCGGACGGGAUCCAUUGAUAGCUUGCUAUCAAUGGUGAGAGUGGCGCACGGGUGCGUAACGCGUGAGCAACCUGCCUCCAUCAGGGGGAUAGCCUCUCGAAAGAGAGAUUAACACCGCAUAAUAUCAACAGUUCGCAUGUUCAGUUGAUUAAAUAUUUAUAGGAUGGAGAUGGGCUCGCGUGACAUUAGCUAGUUGGUAGGGUAACGGCUUACCAAGGCGACGAUGUCUAGGGGCUCUGAGAGGAGAAUCCCCCACACUGGUACUGAGACACGGACCAGACUCCUACGGGAGGCAGCAGUAAGGAAUAUUGGUCAAUGGGCGGAAGCCUGAACCAGCCAUGCCGCGUGCAGGAGGACUGCCCUAUGGGUUGUAAACUGCUUUUGUCCAGGAAUAAACCUAAAUACGAGUAUUUAGCUGAAUGUACUGGAAGAAUAAGGAUCGGCUAACUCCGUG
This 488-nucleotide ribosomal RNA is filed under the name uncultured bacterium. RNAcentral's name for it is "partial 16S ribosomal RNA". It matches the Rfam family "Bacterial small subunit ribosomal RNA", at positions 28 to 507 of the family's 1533-position model. The record is from RNAcentral.